This 298-nucleotide ribosomal RNA is filed under the name Lactobacillus delbrueckii subsp. bulgaricus. RNAcentral describes it as "partial 16S ribosomal RNA". It matches the Rfam family "Bacterial small subunit ribosomal RNA", at positions 1 to 274 of the family's 1533-position model. The record is from RNAcentral. Lineage: Bacteria; Bacillati; Bacillota; Bacilli; Lactobacillales; Lactobacillaceae.
UUAAAUUGAGAGUUUGAUCCUGGCUCAGGACGAACGCUGGCGGCGUGCCUAAUACAUGCAAGUCGAGCGAGCUGAAUUCAAAGAUCCCUUCGGGGUGAUUUGUUGGACGCUAGCGGCGGAUGGGUGAGUAACACGUGGGCAAUCUGCCCUAAAGACUGGGAUACCACUUGGAAACAGGUGCUAAUACCGGAUAACAACAUGAAUCGCAUGAUUCAAGUUUGAAAGGCGGCGUAAGCUGUCACUUUAGGAUGAGCCCGCGGCGCAUUAGCUAGUUGGUGGGGUAAAGGCCUACCAAGGC